UCCCUAUAGACGGACUGAACGGCAACGGGUAGCGAGAACCCGGUAGGGA
This 49-nucleotide non-coding RNA is filed under the name unclassified sequences. The record is from Rfam.